RNAcentral lists this ribosomal RNA (381 nucleotides) under uncultured eukaryote. Its description in RNAcentral is "SSU rRNA". It matches the Rfam family "Eukaryotic small subunit ribosomal RNA", at positions 587 to 972 of the family's 1831-position model. The record is from RNAcentral.
AGCUCCAAUAGCGUAUAUUAAAGUUGUUGCAGUUAAAAAGCUCGUAGUUGAAUUUUGGGCCUGGCUGGGCGGUCUUGCCGCAAGGUAAGCACUGCUCUGGUUGGGUCUUUCCUUCUGGGGAGCCAGCGUGCUCUUAACUGAGUGCGUUGGGGAUCCAGGACUUUUACUUUGAAAAAAUUAGAGUGUUUAAAGCAGGCUUACGCUUGAAUACAUUAGCAUGGAAUAAUAGAAUAGGACUUUGGUUCUAUUUUGUUGGUUUCUAGGACCGAAGUAAUGAUUAAUAGGGAUAGUUGGGGGCAUUAGUAUUUAAUUGUCAGAGGUGAAAUUCUUGGAUUUAUGAAAGACUAACUUCUGCGAAAGCAUUUGCCAAGGAUGUUUUCA